Molecule: ribosomal RNA, 1133 nt
Filed under: Enterococcus sp. 936B6_12ASB
Lineage: Bacteria; Bacillati; Bacillota; Bacilli; Lactobacillales; Enterococcaceae
Description: bacterial SSU rRNA
Rfam family: Bacterial small subunit ribosomal RNA
Source: RNAcentral
GUCGAACGCUUUUUCUUUCACCGGAGCUUGCUCCACCGAAAGAAAAGGAGUGGCGAACGGGUGAGUAACACGUGGGUAACCUGCCCAUCAGAAGGGGAUAACACUUGGAAACAGGUGCUAAUACCGUAUAACAAUCGAAACCGCAUGGUUUCGGUUUGAAAGGCGCUUUUGCGUCACUGAUGGAUGGACCCGCGGUGCAUUAGCUAGUUGGUGAGGUAACGGCUCACCAAGGCAACGAUGCAUAGCCGACCUGAGAGGGUGAUCGGCCACAUUGGGACUGAGACACGGCCCAAACUCCUACGGGAGGCAGCAGUAGGGAAUCUUCGGCAAUGGACGSAAGUCUGACCGAGCAACGCCGCGUGAGUGAAGAAGGUUUUCGGAUCGUAAAACUCUGUUGUUAGAGAAGAACAAGGAUGAGAGUAGAAUGUUCAUCCCUUGACGGUAUCUAACCAGAAAGCCACGGCUAACUACGUGCCAGCAGCCGCGGUAAUACGUAGGUGGCAAGCGUUGUCCGGAUUUAUUGGGCGUAAAGCGAGCGCAGGCGGUUUCUUAAGUCUGAUGUGAAAGCCCCCGGCUCAACCGGGGAGGGUCAUUGGAAACUGGGAAACUUGAGUGCAGAAGAGGAGAGUGGAAUUCCAUGUGUAGCGGUGAAAUGCGUAGAUAUAUGGAGGAACACCAGUGGCGAAGGCGGCUCUCUGGUCUGUAACUGACGCUGAGGCUCGAAAGCGUGGGGAGCAAACAGGAUUAGAUACCCUGGUAGUCCACGCCGUAAACGAUGAGUGCUAAGUGUUGGAGGGUUUCCGCCCUUCAGUGCUGCAGCUAACGCAUUAAGCACUCCGCCUGGGGAGUACGACCGCAAGGUUGAAACUCAAAGGAAUUGACGGGGGCCCGCACAAGCGGUGGAGCAUGUGGUUUAAUUCGAAGCAACGCGAAGAACCUUACCAGGUCUUGACAUCCUUUGACCACUCUAGAGAUAGAGCUUCCCCUUCGGGGGCAAAGUGACAGGUGGUGCAUGGUUGUCGUCAGCUCGUGUCGUGAGAUGUUGGGUUAAGUCCCGCAACGAGCGCAACCCUUAUUGUUAGUUGCCAUCAUUUAGUUGGGCACUCUAGCGAGACUGCCGGUGACAAACCGGA